Molecule: transfer RNA, 87 nt
Filed under: Chloroflexota bacterium
Lineage: Bacteria; Bacillati; Chloroflexota
Description: Chloroflexi bacterium tRNA-Leu
Rfam family: tRNA
About the family: Transfer RNA (tRNA) molecules are approximately 80 nucleotides in length. Their secondary structure includes four short double-helical elements and three loops (D, anti-codon, and T loops).
Source: RNAcentral
GCCGGUGUGAUGGAAUUGGCAGACAUCCGCGACUCAAAAUCGCGUGCCCUUGCGGGCGUGUGGGUUCGACUCCCACCACCGGCACAA